Molecule: long non-coding RNA, 385 nt
Organism: Chelonia mydas (Green sea turtle)
Lineage: Eukaryota; Metazoa; Chordata; Testudines; Cheloniidae
Exons: 2
Source: RefSeq, a predicted model, not a curated record
AGCAGUGCCACAUGAAAAUUAAGGCGCUCAGGCAAGCCUACCAAAAGACAAAGGAGGCAAACGGUUGCUCCGGGUCAGAGCCCCAGACAUGCUGCUUCUGUGAUCAGCUGCAUGCCAUUCUAGGGCGGGACCCUACCAGUACCCCAACGCUCUUCGUGGACACAAUAAGGAUUUUGUGGAAGAGGAGGAGGAGGGGGAGGAUGCGCAUCAGGCAAGCAGAGAAUCCGUUCUCCCCGGCAACCAGGACCUUUUCCUCACCCUGGAGCCAAUACCCUCCCAGAGCGUAUUGUUCUUGGACCCUGAAGGUGGAGAAGGCACCUCUGCUGCAAAUGCUUCUAUGCUCCCCGCAUCAACUCUGUCCCUGAGGUUAUUGCAGAUUAGAAGG